AACUGACACGCACCGAAGAGUACUUGUGUCAUCAACUGACAUUCUUCCUGAUGUCACUUCUCAACAUGCGGACCACCUGUUUUAUGGCCGUGAUUUUGUGGCUCACAACUGGUUCAUCUCGUUGUCAAACACCAAUUCCCAAUGUUCACGGAGGGGUAGGUGCAGUUCUGGGGGUGUCCAACGCCAGCGUCUCCUGCAAGACCCCAGCUCUGAGACACUCUACUGGGAGCCAGAAGGCUCCAUCCUGGCCCUGCACACCUCCAACCUCACUGGAAACACCCAUCAAUUAAGUGGGAGGCAACAGAAGAGGAGAGGAAGACUGUAUGGUUAAAGGCAAGAGAGAG
Molecule: long non-coding RNA, 344 nt
Organism: Salvelinus sp. IW2-2015
Lineage: Eukaryota; Metazoa; Chordata; Actinopteri; Salmoniformes; Salmonidae
Source: RefSeq, a predicted model, not a curated record